AACCCUACAGGUGAUGGAGUUCACCUUUAACCGCCGGAAGGCUAAUGACUCCUGUCAGUGU
This 61-nucleotide non-coding RNA is filed under the name [Bacillus] enclensis. RNAcentral describes it as "Bacillus enclensis Fluoride sequence". It matches the Rfam family "Fluoride riboswitch aptamer (crcB RNA motif)". The record is from RNAcentral. Lineage: Bacteria; Bacillati; Bacillota; Bacilli; Caryophanales; Bacillaceae.